Molecule: non-coding RNA, 154 nt
Filed under: uncultured Prevotella sp.
Lineage: Bacteria; Pseudomonadati; Bacteroidota; Bacteroidia; Bacteroidales; Prevotellaceae
Source: RNAcentral
GUGGUUCUGCCAAAGAUUAAUAGGGAAUGGGGUGCGACUCCCCGACUGUCCCGCAGCUGUGAGUUGUCCUUUUCACGGGCUGCAAGCACACACGUCACUGAUAUUUUCGGGAAGACGCUUGCAGCCGACAACGAGUCAGAAGACCUGCCACGAC